This 133-nucleotide ribosomal RNA is filed under the name uncultured bacterium. RNAcentral's name for it is "partial 16S ribosomal RNA". The record is from RNAcentral.
CGUAGUUAGCCGUGGCUUCCUCUCUCGGUACUGUCAAAAUUCAUCCCGAGUAACAGCAGUUUACGACCCGAAGGCCUUCAUCCUGCACGCGGCAUCGCUCCGUCACGCUUUCGCGCAUUGCGGAAGAUUCUCG